Molecule: transfer RNA, 98 nt
Filed under: Polyangiaceae bacterium
Lineage: Bacteria; Pseudomonadati; Myxococcota; Polyangiales; Polyangiaceae
Description: tRNA-Sec
Rfam family: Selenocysteine transfer RNA
Source: RNAcentral
GGAAGCGCUUGGCUGGCUGGUGCCGCUCCCGGUCUUCAAAACCGGAGUGGGGCAGUUACGCUGUCCCGGGCAGGUUCGAUUCCUGUGCGCUUCCGCCA